CAGCCGCCGCGGGAAUACGUAGGUGGCAAGCGUUGUCCGGAAUUAUUGGGCGUAAAGCGCGCGCGGGCGGAUCAGUUAGUCUGUCUUAAAAGUUCGGGGCUUAACCCCGUGAGGGGAUGGAAACUGCCAAUCUAGAGUAUCGGAGAGGAAAGUGGAAUUCCUAGUGUAGCGGUGAAAUGCGUAGAUAUUAGGAAGAACACCAGUGGCGAAGGCGACUUUCUGGACGAGAACUGACGCUGAGGCGCGAAAGCCAGGGGAGCGAACGGGAUUAGAUACCCCCGUAGUCCCUGUCUCUUAUACA
Molecule: ribosomal RNA, 301 nt
Filed under: uncultured bacterium
Lineage: Bacteria
Description: partial 16S ribosomal RNA
Rfam family: Bacterial small subunit ribosomal RNA
Source: RNAcentral